AACGUAGGGGGCCAGCGUUGCUCGGAAUUACUGGGCGUAAAGGGUCCGUAGGCGGUGUGGCAAGUCGGAAGUGAAAUCUCUGGGCUUAACUCAGAGGCUGCUUCCGAAACUGCCGUGCUAGAGUGCGAGAGAGGCAAGUGGAAUUGCGGGUGUAGCGGUGAAAUGCGUAGAUAUCCGCAGGAACAUCCGAGGCGAAAGCGGCUUGCUGGAUCGCAACUGACGCUGAGGGACGAAAGCUAGGGGAGCAAACAGG
This 253-nucleotide ribosomal RNA is filed under the name uncultured bacterium. RNAcentral's name for it is "partial 16S ribosomal RNA". It matches the Rfam family "Bacterial small subunit ribosomal RNA", at positions 524 to 776 of the family's 1533-position model. The record is from RNAcentral.